RNAcentral lists this transfer RNA (63 nucleotides) under Cryptorhynchinae sp. 8 ACP-2013. RNAcentral describes it as "tRNA-His". Lineage: Eukaryota; Metazoa; Arthropoda; Insecta; Coleoptera; Curculionidae. The record is from RNAcentral.
CUUAAAUAGUUUAUAAAAAAUAUUAAUUUGUGGAGUUAAAGAAAUAAGUUUUAUUUUAAGUAA